Long non-coding RNA from Magnolia sinica, 305 nucleotides. RefSeq lists it as uncharacterized. The transcript is spliced from 2 exons. The record is from RefSeq and is a predicted model, not a curated record. Lineage: Eukaryota; Viridiplantae; Streptophyta; Magnoliopsida; Magnoliales; Magnoliaceae.
CAAGGUGGACUCGAUGGACUAAUCAAACUUUCAUCUAUAUUUUCUGAAGACCCAUCUGUGCUACAAGAGGUACAUUGAGAGAUGAGUUGUGCCAGACUUAAAGUUGAAUACAUAGGAUAAGACAGAUUGCUAUGCACUUGCAAAUCUAUUACUUUGUUUUAUGAGAAAUGCAAAAGGGACCAGCCUGAACUGUCAUAUAAGCCUUUUUAACAUGUAUGGUGAUCUAUUUAGCCUUUUAAGCAUGAUAGGCUAUCCUUAGGUAACUGUUGCAUUAACUGUAUACUCUGUACUGAUUUUUCUCUUUA